GCCGGGUGUGCUGGCGGGCACCUGUACUCCCAGCUACUCAGGAGGCUGAGGCAGGAGAAUCGCUUGAACCCAGGAAGCAGAAGUUGCAGUGAGCCGAGAUCGCACCACUGCACUCCAGCCUGGGUGACAGAGUGAGACUCUGUCUCAA
This 148-nucleotide non-coding RNA is filed under the name Gorilla gorilla gorilla (western lowland gorilla). Lineage: Eukaryota; Metazoa; Chordata; Mammalia; Primates; Hominidae. The record is from Rfam by way of RNAcentral.